UCCAGCUCKAAUAGCGUAUAUUAAAGUUGUUGCAGUUAAAAAGCUCGGUAGUUGGAUUUCGGAAGGUCUUUAGUGGUCCGCCCCUUCGGGGAGCGGGUCACKGGCCUCCUAUGUUCCUAACGGUCCUCAUCCGMGAGGGUGGGGAAUCAACCGCUAGGAUCGUUUACUUUGAGGAAAUUAGAGUGUUCAAAGCAGGCGUAACUCGCCUCCGAAUACGUUAGCAUGGGAUAAUGGAAUACGACUUCGGUCUUGUUUCGUUGGUUUCGCUUGGCUGAAGUAAUGAUUGAUAGGGACAGUUGGGGGCAUUAGUAUUUAGUUGUCAGAGGUGAAAUUCUAGGAUUUACUAAAGACUGACCAAUGCGAAAGCAUUUGCCAAGGAUGUUUUCAUUAAUCAAGAACGAAAGUAGGGGGAUYGAAGACGAUCAGAUACCGUYGUAGUCUCUACCGUAAACUAUGCCGACCAGGGAUCCGGAGAGUUUGCAUGGAUGACUCCCCGGGCACCUUGUGAGAAAUCAUAAGUGUUUGGGUUUUGGGGGGAGUAUGGUCGCAAGGCUGAAACUAAAGGAAUUGACGAAGGGACAAUAACUUAUUGC
RNAcentral lists this ribosomal RNA (593 nucleotides) under uncultured amoeba. RNAcentral describes it as "SSU rRNA". It matches the Rfam family "Eukaryotic small subunit ribosomal RNA", at positions 586 to 1191 of the family's 1831-position model. The record is from RNAcentral.